Molecule: ribosomal RNA, 552 nt
Filed under: Triticum aestivum (bread wheat)
Lineage: Eukaryota; Viridiplantae; Streptophyta; Magnoliopsida; Poales; Poaceae
Description: partial small subunit ribosomal RNA
Source: RNAcentral
AUGACCGUCGCCGAGCCGGAGAUGCCGGCGUCGGAGCGCAGGCUCGUGGCCCUCGCCAGGUGGGACGCGCUCAUCUUCCUGUACUACGGGAUCGUGUGGGUCGGCACCGCGGCGUCCAACGCCAAGGUCAUCGCGCGCGGCGCUCUGGGCGAGGUCGAGGGUUCCGCCGUGCUCGCGGCGGCGUCCUGGCUCUCCCACCACUCCCUUAUCUUCGCUGCCGUGUUCACCCCCGUUGCCUUGAUUCUCGUCGGCGCCACCGGAGUGCGCUCCGCGUACAACACCAGGAAGGAUAUCAAAGAGCCCCCGAAAACUCUUCACCAGGUUGCGCAGAUGAUGCUCAAGGAUCCUGUCAUUGUUGGAGCGCUUGUUUUGCUGGUCUUCCUCCCGCUCAUAAGUCAUGAAGAUUUGGUGGUCGGUCUGUUGCCUGUGAAAGAAUCUCAGAGGGAACAUGUUCGUUCAGUAUUGAGGGAUGUAGGGUCAUUGGGUGUCAGCGCAGUAUUUUGUUUCAUCAUGUUGCCCACUACGGUGCUGAGGCAGUGGAGGAUGAAGUAA